CUAGUUAAAACCUGUUACGAAUAUGGACUACUUAGUUACAUAUAUACCCAAGACGGAAAUGAAAUAUCCAAUAUACCAAAAAUAUAUGAUUCAUUUAACAUUUUUAAAAGAAUAACCAAAGGAAACUUAUUUUUUAUAAAAUUUUACACGGCACCAACAGAGAUAUUGUAUGAUGAACUUAAAUCACCUCUACAAAUUGUAAAAAUAGGAAUGACCCGAGAUAUGAUUAUACCAGAAGAUAUUAUUCCACAACUAGAAAUAUCUAGAAUUGAGAUACCAAAUUUUUAUGCAAAUAAGAGAAUUAUCGGAUUAUCCACAAUUUUUCAAGAGUUAGCAAACACUUAUCGCAAUAGAAAUCCCAUAGGGAGUUAUUAUUCAAGAGGUAAUGUAAUAGUAUACUCAAAUUCUCAAAUUCAAAGGAACUACGAGAAGCAAAUAUGGAAGACGUUAGGCAAUGGAUCUUGACGUUACUCAAUCCAGAGAAAUAACCUAUCGCCACAGCCAUUAGAGAAAAAAUUAUUUCGGAAGAAUUAUUAACCAGAUAUUGCAAGUUAAUUGGACAUGAAUAUCCAGACCAUUAAUGUUCAAAAUGUAAUAGAGAAGAUAAUAUUGUCCCAGAAGUUCAACUACUGGAAUAGAAGAAGAUAAAAUCGACAGCUGGAAGAUGCAAGAUAUGAAGCAAUAAUGGAGAUACAGAGCAAUAAAAAGAAGACGGAGCAAUAAUAAAAAGAAGACAAGUUAAUGCUAGGAAGUGACAUAAAGAAGACAAGUUAAUGCUAGAAAAUGACAUGGGAGAUUAGAUAUCUUUCCUAAUUCAUUUACGUAAAUUAUUAGUUACUUUUUGACUUUUUGGCAAAAUGUCAUUACUAAGUUUUGUACUCUUGUAGAAAUAAUUUAGGACCUUUGUAAAUUUUUUUUUCUACUUUUAUAGAUAGGUGUAAAGACUUUUGUAAAGUAGGUAGGUAAUAGAUUAGGACAGAUGUAAAAAUGUAAAACGUUUACGGGUUUUCUUAAAAAUAUAAAUAGAAGAGCAUUUGCUCAGAAGAAGGCAAGCCUUCGUACGAUUGAAGCAAAAAAACUCUCUUGUCUACAACAAAUAAUUUGAUUAUUUAAAAAACAGGUAUAUUUCAAUGAAAAAAUUUAUGGAGGAACAAAGCUUAGAAUUAUCAAAACUACCACAACAGGUAUAUUCAUUUACUAUUAUGAAUAGCUAAAUUCAUAAAUUCCUAACAAUCAUGAUAUGAUAAAAUAAGUUCAUGUUAGUUGUUUUAUAGUAAAAUUAUUCGAAAAAUAGCAUGUUAAGAAGUUUAUUAGCAAAGUGAAAAAGGAGAAAAAUCUCUAAGAACUAUGUCAUCCUAAAGGUGAAACCAGUGAGGCAAGAAAGCCGUAAUAGGGGAGUAACCAGAGUAGAGGCGGCGUUUAAGAGAAAAGUAUCCAGAUUAUCAUGCUAAUAGUGACCGAAGAAUAUGUUAUUUAAGAAUAAUCUAUAGCAAUCUAAAGUGAUCAUAUUUUGUUAUGUGCAUGAUUGAAAGGAAUAUUUUGAAAAUAGCAAUUUUAUGAAAAAUGGAUGAUUAUUUAUCUGACGAAAUGGUAGAUAAAUUUAAAAUAUUCGUUUUAUAUGUACUUUAGAAUAUAGAAAUAGUAGAUAUAAGAAAAAUCAUAUUGAAAAAAAUAUUUGAUAGAUAUUUUAUAACUAGAAUUAAUUAUAUAUCACACCUACCAAACUACUCUUAUAAAUACUUACAUACCAAACCCACAUACUAAUUAUGAUAAAUUAUGUAUUUAGAAUCUUGGAAAAUAGACAUAAAAUACAUACAAUUUCUUAGUAAAAAUAUAGACAAUUAAUGAGAUUAAAACAAACAACUACAAGAUAUUAUAAUAAAGUAUUUAACCAAUUUUAAAUGAUAGAUAAUCUUAAAAUAUUAAUCUAAACAGUUAUACCUAGAUAAUUAUCUAGAUGGAUAUUAUUCAGAUUAAAAAAUGUUAGAAUAUAUUAGAAAAACUAGAGAAAACCAAGAUAAUCUAAAUGAAGAAAUUAAUUAUAGAAACUGAAUUAGAAAAAUAAUGGAGAAUCUAAAAGAAAAAUUAAUAUGGAUAGAAGAAACCCUAGAAAAUUUAGAAAAAAAUACAUGUGAUAAUUUAUAUAAUUUAAAAAACUCGCUAUGAGAAGAAUAACACAAGAUAAUAAAUAGCAUUGAGAACCUAGAAUUAGAUAUACAUUACAGUACAAUUAGGAUAACUUAUUAUACAGAAAUUUGUAAUUCUACAAUUACUACAGGAUAAAAUGAUAGACUAUAAAUAUUUAAAAUAUUGGAGACAAAAUAUGAAAGAAAUAAUAUUAUUAGAAAAACUUAUGAAAGAUAAUCUAAUUGAAUAUUUUGAAACAAAAGAUAUAGAAUAUUUAGAAUACCUUCAAAAUAAUAUAGAAGAAUUACAAAAACUAGGGGAAAAAAAUAAAGAAUACUAUAGUAAAGCAUUUAACCAAUUAUCAUAUAAUCACCCCCAAGAUAUGAAUCUGAAUAUCGAUAAAACUAACAUAAAUAUAUACAAAAUAAAAAUAUUUAGAGAAGUUAAGAAAUAUCCACGCAAAAAUAAAAAUAAAUCCAUUAUAUUUAUAAUAGAUGUAUUUUACCACACAAGUUAUCCGCACCCCUACAAUUGGCCAUUAAAUCAAUGAUAGAAAGCAUAUCAGUUAGAGUGGUACAUUAUUUUCGGGAAGGCAACACUAACUGAUUUUUUUACUAACCUAAUUUCUGAUUUCGAAGGUGAUUUUAAGUAUAACAGUUUAAAACAGGUGCCAAUGGGAGGAAGAAAUAUAAUUAAUCUAGAUAAAAAUGGGACUCCAAAUAUUAGAAGAACCACACAACAGACAUGAGACAAUAACAACAGCAACAAAUACAGAAGGCAUACAUCAAUCACAUCAGAUGGAGAAACAAUAUCAAGCAGAUUGGACAAUCAAGGCUCGUAAACACUAAGAAGAAUUAGAGUGUUACCUGGAACAUGCAACUGACUAGAGCAUACUCCUACUUGAAAUACAGUGGGGAAUCCAGUGUUGAUUAACCUCAAAUUACAAGAAUAAGGAAGUGUAAAAAGGUUAUAAACUAACCAAAUCGGGGAUUCUAUAAGGAGAUGAUGAUACCUGUCGUUUGAAAUGACUUCCUUUGAAUACAAAACCUGUAUCCAGUGAGAGUUUGAGACGUCGAUGGUCUGAGUAUUCAAAUAACAGCUAGGUCAGAUCCAUAAAAAUCCCUAGAGACCAUUAGAAAUAAUCCAGUACAUCUACAAAGUCUUUAAAACCUAAAUUACUUGGAUCUAUCUUCUAGAUAAGGUGCUUGUAUUAGCUUCCACAGAAGUUUAAUCCACCGAUCUAGGAGAGGGAAGAAAGUAAGAUAACGGUUAGAGACUUAGCUUAGAUGAUGAGGAUGAAGCUGGUGGUGACCUGAGAAUCAUAUGCGACAGAUAUGAAGUAUUGGUAUCACAAAGCUGAUCGGAGAAGAUGAAGAGACAACAAGAGGCGGAUGAGGAAAUUUACUUUCCUAAUUGACCUGGUGGCCUUUUGUAUACCUUAUCUUUGUUUUUUGGAUUCGGGUUAGGUCGCUUUUGGGCCUGAUCCGAUUAAUGUAAAGAUUCGUUUUAUUUUAUCAAAUGGGCUUUGGCCCGAUAUAUAUAAAAAUUGAUUUACUUUUCAAA
Molecule: long non-coding RNA, 3690 nt
Filed under: Capsicum annuum
Lineage: Eukaryota; Viridiplantae; Streptophyta; Magnoliopsida; Solanales; Solanaceae
Description: long non-coding RNA (CANN_LNC013772)
Source: RNAcentral